AAUGUUCAUUCAAAUAACAUACAAUCACCAUUAAAAAGUGAUAUAUUAUAUGAAAAUGAUCCAAUUAUACAUAUAAUAAAUGAUCAUAAUUAUUCCGCGACAUAUGAAACAUUAAAAAGAAAAAUUAUUUACCAAGAGGCUAUUAUUAAACGCUUAAAAAAGGGCACAUGCUUAUUAUAGGAGCUCAAAAAGAGGAAAAAAUAAAAUAAUCAAUUUACAAACAAUAAUCACUUCACUAAAAGAUGAAAAUUUGUUAUCAGAUGAUGUCGAAAAUAUUAUAGACAGGCAAUUUACAGGGACAUCUUCUAUAUUCCUUAAAACACAUAUACACAGUGGAGGCAUCUCAAACCCACAAAAAAAUAUAUACAAGUGAAUUCCGUCAAUUUGCAUUAACUAUGCAUUUUUAUUCACCUAAGGCUUACAGAUAUCUCAAAUCACACUUUUGUAUGCCUCCGGAAUCCACAUUAAGGGCAUGGAGUCACAAGAUUGAAAUCAUGCCAGGUUUCCUUUCUAUUUCAUUUACUUAAAUUAAAAGCUACCAAAAAAAAUCAGAAAAGCAGUUGUAUUGUGUACUUAGCCUUGAUGAAAUGCAUAUUAAAACUCAAAUAGAUUAUGACCCCCACAAAGCAGAAUAUCAUAGUUAUGUUGAUUUAGGUGAUGGGACAAAAUCAACAAAAGAAGAUAAAUCUUGUCCAGAAGCAACAAAGGCACUCUUUCUUAUGGCUACCUGUCUUAAUAGCAGCUGAUAUGGUUAUGAUUUUGCAUUUUAUAUGUAUGGACCCCCUCUAAGAAAAAUUUCUAGCUAUGCCACUGGUAUGGAUCCUGAUAAUAUCAUUCCAUAUAUUGAGCUGGAAUUUUAUGAAUCGGAAAAAAUAUAUAUGUUACUAGAUGUUUGUCAUAUGCUCAAAUUACUUAUAAAUUUAUUAGCGGAGUAGGAAAUUUUAAUAAAUGAAUAAAAUGGAGAGAUAAUAGAUUGGAAGCAUAUACAAAAUUUACAUAAAUUGCAGGAGUGCGAAGGUUUACGUGCUGCAAAUAAAUUGCGCAAAGCACAUAUUGCUUUCCACAAACAAAAAAUGAAAGUAUUCGAUCUGCUGUUGGCAUUUCAUUAAUGGCGAAAUUGGAUACUACAAUUACAGGAAAUUGCAUUUCCUUAGAUAAUACUCAAUUAAUAUGUUCAAAUUUUCAAAAUAAUCAUGACGAUGAUUUUAAUUCUAUCAAAACUAUUUUCCAAUAAUACCCCAGGCAUUAUCUUAUUAUUUUAGCCAAACAAAUCCUCAUAUCCCGAAAUUAUCAUUAUAUUUAGAUAAUUUAACAACUUAUAUUUUGGGAUAUAUAGUACAACAACUUAUUAAAGAAAAAAAGGUACGAUGUGAUGUUUGCAUUAAUGCAAUGGUCAGUGAUUCAUAUAUUGAUAAUAAUAUAAAUAAUAUGCUCAUAAAUUUUAAAAAUAAUGGGGGGUUAGUGAUUCCUUCUUCUAAUAUGUCAUGCAGAAUUUGUGAAAGUUCAUUUAGAACUUAUCAAAAUGAUAUUAAACGUAAAAAUAUUAUUAAAAAAAUGGAAGUGUUGGUUUUUUCCUCAAUAAUUGGUACAAAUAUUUUUAUUGAUCUUACUGAACAUAUUAAUGAUGAGAUUGGUUACAGCCAUUUUCAAAUUCUUGUAAAAUUAAUUGUUCAAAGAUAUUUAAAUAUUAGAUUUUUUCAUUUUGCUGACUUGAGAAACCAGGAAUUGAGAACUGGUAUGAGGCAAAAUCUUACAAAAGCAAUACAUUUUAAUAAUCAUUAAGUCAUGUAAAUUAAUAUUUAUAUCUUCUUUUAUUUUUUAAAAAUUAUAUUGUAUAAAGAACAGGCCUGAUAUAAGACAUAUUAUAAAAAUUAUGAUAUUAUA
Molecule: long non-coding RNA, 1884 nt
Organism: Gordionus sp. m RMFG-2023
Lineage: Eukaryota; Metazoa; Nematomorpha; Gordioida; Chordodea; Parachordodidae
Exons: 6
Source: RefSeq, a predicted model, not a curated record